ACGAACGCUGGCGGCAUGCCUAACCCCUGCCAGUCGAACGAGACCUUCGGGUCUAGUGGCGCACGGGUGCGUAACGCGUGGGAACCUGCCCUUAGGUUCGGAAUAACUCCCCGAAAGGGGUGCUAAUACCGGAUAAUGUCUUCGGACCAAAGAUUUAUCGCCUUUGGAUGGGCCCGCGUUGGAUUAGCUAGUUGGUAGGGUAAAAGCCUACCAAGGCGACGAUCCAUAGCUGGUCUGAGAGGAUGAUCAGCCACACUGGGACUGAGACACGGCCCAGACUCCUACGGGAGGCAGCAGUGGGGAAUAUUGGACAAUGGGCGAAAGCCUGAUCCAGCAAUGCCGCGUGAGUGAUGAAGGCCUUAGGGUUGUAAAGCUCUUUUACCCGGGAUGAUAAUGACAGUACCGGGAGAAUAAGCUCCGGCUAACUCCGUG
Molecule: ribosomal RNA, 432 nt
Filed under: uncultured bacterium
Lineage: Bacteria
Description: partial 16S ribosomal RNA
Rfam family: Bacterial small subunit ribosomal RNA
Source: RNAcentral